RNAcentral lists this transfer RNA (73 nucleotides) under Ailuropoda melanoleuca (giant panda). It matches the Rfam family "tRNA". Rfam says of the family: Transfer RNA (tRNA) molecules are approximately 80 nucleotides in length. Their secondary structure includes four short double-helical elements and three loops (D, anti-codon, and T loops). Lineage: Eukaryota; Metazoa; Chordata; Mammalia; Carnivora; Ursidae. The record is from Rfam by way of RNAcentral.
GCCUGGCUGGCUCAGUUGGUAGAGCAUCUGCCUCUUGAUCUUGGGAUUGUGAGUUCAAGCCUCACGUUGGGUG